GUCCUGGUCUUUUACUUUUCUCUUUAGGACUCUGGGUCAGCAGAGAUUCAUGUUUAGCCAAGUUCUUGCCUUCGCCCUGCUGCCCAGAUUUCUGGUUCCAGAGCUAGACCUUCCGUGAGCCUGUUUAUGUGUUCCACCGUCACACCUGUUUAUUCUCAAAGAGUGUUUUACAGGUAAAUUGGAGCCACAACAAAGACAAGAACUGGAUAAAGGAAAGGACUAUGAUAGACACCAGUGAGCUCUGAAGCAGCAGCCAGCCUUUCUGCACAUUUCUGUCAGCACUGCAUUCUAUUCUUGGCCAACACAUCAUUCCAUUCAUAACUGAUCUCUACUUACAACAGCACACGCUAACGGAAUGCCAGAACCAGAGGGGAGAGCUAAGUCAGGGAGAAACCCUGUGUGCGCAGAACCCAGGGAGCAACGGAAGAGGCCUAGUGGGACCGGAUGUGUGUGCCGCUCUGCUGAGAGUGACUUCAGUCCUGGGUCCAGGCUCUUAGCACUGUCCCCUCCCAACUCACUCUUGGGACGUGAAGGGGCCACUGUGGGAAGGAACUCUCAUAUCAGAAAGUUGAAACAGAAGACUCUGGAGCUGCUGGGGCUCCUCAGCCAGCCACAGUUUGACAACACAAUGGGAAAAUGUCCAGAAAUAGUAGGCUCUCUGACUCUCCGUGUGAAUGUUACACAGGUACUAAACGUACCGCCGAGGACCAUACCAGGAUGACUUGCUCAGCACGACUAAGAUAUCCCUGGGAAGUUUCUCUACCACAGAUAAGCCUCAUGAGACACAGCAGUGGCAACAGUCCUUUGCUUCCUCAAACCUGGGUGUGUUGCCAAAUUCUUAAAAACUGGCUCGGUGAGCCACUGCUAUCACAUGCAAAUGCCAUUCUGUCAGUCUGUCUGUCUAUGUCUCUCUCUUUACGUGUGUGUGUGGGGGGGGGGGGGGUAGAAAGUCGUUUUUUUAGAAUUGAAUGGUCUCCGAGAGAGGUUAUAUGGUAAACCACACGUCUCAACAAAUUUCUAAAAAUUGAAAUCAUAGCAAGAAUCGGUUUCAACCUCAACGAGGAAACAUUGGAAGUCAACAUCGCGAGCUCUGUGCGGCAGCGCGGAGUGGCAUGUGUUUGGAGGAGGUUCUGCAUCGUCUCCUCUUUCAAGGGCACUGCCAUUAGGAUUGGGAAGCCCCUUUGAAGGAUUCUCAUCGCUUCUCUAUAAGACUGAUGACUUGAAGCCCCACCUCACCCCAGCCCCACCCUCAAGUUUCCCUUCUGCUCAGACUCCACCCCCAGGACAAAUGCCCCUGGGAGAUUUCAGAAUUCCUUCUCCAUCCCCACUGUGCAUCUCUCCAGUGGAUAACAUCUGUCCACCAAGUUCGUAAAGCAAAUCCUGUCUUAAGGAGCUGAAUUAGUUCUAACUCAAUGUUCAGUUAAACAUUUCUGGGAUGUGUGACCUCAGCUUCAGUUAGUUAAUGCUUAGUCUCUAAGCUUUGAACUGGUGAAGCCAAAAGAAGAAAUGGAAACCCCAAUCCAAGGAAUAUUCCAGAUUAAAAGAGAUGCAGAAAUUUAGUAUAUGCUAAAUGUGGUAUCAAAAUCAUUUAAGAAGAGCUAUACUAUUCCCAUGAAUGAUAUUAGAACAAUAAGAAGGAGUAUCUGCCCUGUCCUGGACUGUGAUAGGAGACUAAUAGGGUCAAGCACCACUUAGCUGCUGUAUGACCAAGUGAGAGCUCUUUCUUGCCUCUUCUGUAAAUGAGAAUGAAAGAGGCUAUAUUAGUGUAGAGACAGGAGGAUUAAUGGAUUGAGAUUAAGAGACAGUUCACAUAGUAAAUCCAGUGAGUCUUAUCAUUAUUGCUACUCCUUCCAGCAAAAGACAUUCCAGAUAGAAACCAACAAAAGCGGCUCAAUAAAACAUGUCUGGGUAUUUUUGUUUUGUUUUCUUUUGUUUUUUGUUUGUUUGGGGUUUUUUGUUGUUGGUUUUUGUUUUUUGGUUUUUUUUUUUUUGUAAUCUCGCAGCCAUCAUACAAAACCAAAAAUCAGUAAAGCAGUAAAGAUAAAGGUUGCUUUCCUGACCCCCCCCCACACACACAUUUUUAAGAUUUAAUAUUAACUAGAAAUGUACAAUAAAGAGUUAUGGUUCCCAAUAUGCAGAAAUCUGCUAAAAAUAAGAUUAAAGGGCAAACAGCUAUAGAAAACAGGAAAAUGUAAUUCAAGAAAAGAAGAAAAAGCACAUACUAAAAAAAAAAGAAAUUAAGAAAGAUUAGUGGGAAUUAAUAAAAGUCAACUUAAAAUAGAUAUGUGGUGCAUGCCUGUUAUGCUAGCACUUUGGGGGCAGAGGCAGGAGGAUUACAGCAAGUUUGAGGCCAGCCUGAUCUUCAUAACAAGCUCUAGGAGAGCCCACAGCUAUGCAGUGAGGCCUUGUCUCAAAACAGUUACAAUAAACAAGGAAAGCCAUAAUUGUACACACAAAUGUCUGGGCAACAACAGAGAUAGCAAUGCUCUUGAGAUCACCAAUGCUGUUCACCAGUAAGUGUUCAAGACACACACAUCAUACUGCUCAUUGAGAAUCAAGGAGGGUAACCUCGCAUAUUGACCCCAUUAGCUUACAGUGUGCAUUGACUUGAUCCAGAACCAAUUAUGGCUAUAUUGUUAGGAUUUUACCCUACAGAUAAAGCAAAUAUAUCAUAUGACCAUUCAGAGGAACCAGAAAUGUUAAAUACCAGGCAUCCCACAAGGGGAAUCUCCACGGUGUUAGAGGAGGUUAAAGUAGACAUAUGUAUUGACAUAAAGGAGUCUUCCAAGAUACUUAGUGGACAAGCAAGCUUCAGAGCAGCAUUUGCACUGGAGCCUCUCUGCAGGAAAAGCACAGCACUGGGCUGCAGGGUUGCUCAGAGCUCCGUCCUACAGAGCCUGACAAUUGGGCAUCGUGACUGACUGUAUCCACUGAUGAGUGACGAAGCUAAGCCUCCUGCAAUGGACUCCUCCGAGAAGCAGCUUCAACAGGUCUGUCCCUAUUCUAGCUAAAGCAUAGCACCCUGUCUGGAAGCAGUCCUCCACACAGGUCCUCUUCACUAUCUGUGCGGGUGUGCAUUCCUGCAUGCGUGUGUAUUAAAUAAUGUAAUAAAUGUACUCAUUUAACAGGGUGUAACUGUUGGGGUUUGAAUCGGUUUUUAAUGAAGUUUAGUUGCACAUAUAUUUGCUUGCUUGCUUGCUUGCUUUCUUUCUUUCUUUCUUUCUUUCUUUCUUUCUUUCUUUCUUUCUUUCUUUCAUCGCUAUUGUUCUCUAUUUUUCUUUGCAUAUCCCCUUCCCCUUAUUAGCUGUUCUUUCCUCUCAGCAUGGUCUCUUUGCUUGCUUUUAGAACUGUUAAACUGAUACUUCACACCCCAGUUUCUUCUUUAUAGGUUUCUUUUCAUUGUGCUCUGAAAGGGUUUUUGCUUUCUUUGAUCUACAUUUUUCUCUGGACGCAUGACCUUUAUUCUAGUUAAUCCUCCUUUGCGAGCUUUUGUUAGUAAUUACUCUGUUUACUUUUUGAGAAUUUCAAUUAAAAAGUUACAUUUGCACCAUAUAUGCCAGGAGAAUUGACUAGCUGACUUUGUUUUCUGAUUUUAUUCUAAGCCAUGGCAACUAAGCAGCUCUGAAAGAGGUUAACAAGUUUUAGGACCCUAAUAAGCCUAGGGUAUGUCCUUUGUUAUGUUUAAAACCUGUGAGCUUGUAGGCCCUCAGUGCAGACACUAAACUAAUACAUUCCAAUUGCAAUAAGAAACCGUGUCCUGAGUGGAAAAACAUAUUUCCAUUCUUCUGAGGAAUAGACGCUAAAUGUAUAUGUGAAGUUAAAUUAAUCCAAAAUAUCUUAAUUUAGUUAUGGCUAUAUAUGUAAACGUGUGUGUGGGGACAAUGGUCAGUCUUAGGUGUUGUUCCUUAGGAUCUAUCCACCUUGCGUUUUGAGGCAGGGUCUCUCAUUAGGACUAAGUGCUAGAUGAUUUAGGCUGGGAUGGCUGGCCAGUGAGUUCCAGGGAUCUAGCUGCCUGUUUCUACUUCCACAGCAGCAGAAUUAGAAGCCGUUGUCACCCUGCCUGGCUUUUCUCUUCUUUGUUUUACAUCACAGGUAUUGAAGAUCAAACUCAGGGACUCAUUCUUUCUCAGCAAUCACUUUAUCGACUGAGAUGUGUGCUCGGCACCUACCAUGCAAUAAUCAAAGAAAACAGCUUAUACGGCACGUCAGCCCCGCAUAUCGCAAAUAGGAAGUAUAAUUACUCGCAAUGUAAUUUUAGACUUCAUUGAAAGAUUAUAUAUUAAAAAAUGUGGACUGAGGACGGACAGUGGCUGGUUAUGUUAGAGGUCAUGGAAGCCAUGUGAUUGCUUGUUCGGAGUGAAAAACCCAGGGCACACUUUAAAGUAGACUUGGUAGAGAAAUUGGCAAAUAAGCCACAACCCCUGGUGACUGAACAGCAUGUGGAUGCUUGAGGCACUGUAUUACAGCCAGCAUUUACUGCACACGUGUGUUUUCUAGAAUACUAUCGAUAAAUAAAGACUAGGGUUGGUUAGUUCCCACUAUCAGCAAGACACCCAGAACAGCCCAAUGUAGGCUAUACAUUGAGAUGUGAAAGUGCUGUCAGGUACUGUGUCCUGGAGACCAAUGUUUUGCCUGCUGCUUUGUUAAGUGAGCUAGAGGAUGAAUUUUCCAAAAGCCCUAUGGAGGCGAGUCUACUACUAUCCCUAGAAGCAAACAAGGAUGCUAAGGAUAAUGUAAGUCAAAGGUAAGUUGCCCUGUGACACAGCUUGUCACCUAUCAAGUUAGUACUUGAAACCAGGUGAGCCACUUGCUAAAGGCCAACCCCUACCUAUACACCAUUGUCUCCUCCAUGCUUGGUGUUCAUAUUAGAGUGGACAGUGAGGAAAAAAAUCCCUGCUGAUAACUGCAGACUCGGUAAAAAACAUUCCCACCGAAUUUUGUUAAACCAAACAGAUUAGGAACUUUACAAGAAUAGUAAAAAAAUGUAGGAGAAACAUCUCUGAAAUCUAUUUUGAAAAAUAUAUAUAUAUAUAUUUUAGACUUAUAAAUAUUCUAUUAAAGCUCCAGUACUUAGCAUCAUGGUAUUGACAGGAAAGAAGCUCAAGGAUCACUGGGAAGAACACAGGCCAGAAACAGGCUGGGUACAAAGAGAUAACUGGUUUUAUGAUGAAAACCAAAGUUCACCUUGGUACAAGCAUCUCUGCAUUCAGGAGGGCAGGGGAGGGAGUUCUGAGUUUAAGUUUAUCCUUAGUUUUAUACACCCUCCCCACAGGGCAUAAGCUGAGUUUUGAAUGAUAGAGCAUUAAAUAAAUAGAGCAUGGGAAGAACCAUGUAGAAUUUUAGGAAAGAACUAAGUCCCAUCAUUAUCUUCAGUUCAUUUUUUCUUAGAAAUACGAUGUGUAAUGUUAUGACAUAAAAACCAAACUAGUAAAAGUAUUUGCAGAAAUAAGAUCAUUUAAGUUUUCAGUGACCAAGACUUUCCCAAAUUAGGCAAAGCCCAGAAAUCACGAAAAGUACUGAUAACGCCAGUACCUACAGUUUCUGUGUAGCAGAGGAUCGUCACCACAGCAGCGCAUGAGGAAGGAGAUAGAUAGACAGUGAAGUGCUGCCGGCCUCAGAAUCACGGAGAAGACCAAUAGCUGCUACAGUGGGGUUUUAAAAAGUGUGACACGAAAUGAGACAGACAUAGACACACAAAUGCCGCGUGACUGCACUCCUAUGAGAGCCCUUCAUCGGUCCAGCUAAGAACACAGAGAGGAUUGGCUGAUGCAGAGAACAGGAGGGAAGAAAGUGACUAUUUCAUGCCUCAAACUUGUGGUUCCAUUUCCGGUUCGGCUCGGGAACGGGGUGCUGGAGAGCUGUGGACACCCUAGAUGGCAGCGAGCUUUAUACGUACGGUGGUUAAGAUGGUAACUGCUGUGAUAUGUGUCUCGUCCCACGAUUAAAGAAAAAUGAGAAGAGGCAGCUUUGUGGUAGAAGUCGUUGCAUUGUCUGCUGCACACGGAGUAUUAUGAUCUGAGACAGGGCCGAGUUUCUACAGUGCAUAAAAUUAGAAAAACCCCGAGCCGGACAGAUAGCUCCGUGACUACAGGUAUCUACCUAGGUCCCACAUGGAGGAAGGAGAGCACCAAUUCCCCAAAGCUUUCCUUUCGCCUCUACCUGUCCACUGUAGCAUAAACAACCUCCCCACCCAUAAAUCAAUAAAUAAAGGUAACCAAUUUUUUAAAGACUGAGAGGAAACAGCUCAAUAUAAGACUGAGUAAAGGUGUGACCUAGUCGUCAUAGGACACAGAUGGUUCAUAAAUAUGUAGAAAUAGUAAAUUGGAAUACUAAGUAACAAAAUGUAAAAUAAAAUGCUGCCUUGUCUCAUCCAUUCCCAAGUUUGAAAACACAUCUAUUUGUGUUUGUCCUGGUAAGGAGUAUCCAAACUUCACAUGUUGACAUGUGCACUGAUCUAUGAAGCAGAGGUGUGCUGUAAGAUGCUUGCCCUCAAAACAGCUCUCCUGGGGUUCGACUCCACAGCAAUAUUCAUAGUUGAGAGCAAAGAUGAAUGCAGUAUCUUCCCUGAGGCAUUGUUGUUAAUCUUAAAUAUGUUUUCAAAGCAAAACAGCCAUCACUAAGGGAGAGGGUAAAUAAAUUUUAUCUUGCUUAAGGUUAGCAGGAAACCCUUGGCAAAAUAUCAUGCACAGGUGUGGGAAAAGCUCUCCAACCUGGGCUGUAAAGCAGGAAGCGCCACACUACAGUUAGGAAAUUUACAUAUGUAGACAUACUUGAAAAACUUGUAGAUAUGUCCUUCAAAUCAUUAUAAAUAAAAGUAUCUUAGAGUGAUAUUUAUCACGUUAUGACUUAGAAGUGAUGUUAGGGUGUCAAGUUGGUGAGUGGUCAAGUCAUGAUAGUUAAUCUGCAUUGCCAGCUUGACUGAGUUCAGAAUCACUCAGGAGACACAUCUCUGGAUGAGUCUUUCAGGGUGUCACAGCACUAUCCCUACAUAGGGCUGCAUCUCCUACGGGAUGGAAAUGGGGAGCGGGAUGGGGAGAGAGGCUGUCUGGGCAACAACAUUCACCUCCUCUCCUCCCUAAUUGCCAACACACCGUGACCAGCUGUCUCAUGGUGGACUAUAAUCUCCCAAACCAUGAGCCAAAAGCAACGUUUCUUCUCUUUUGUUGCUUUUUCUCCAUCAUUUGUCACAACAGAGAGAAAUAAUACACUCUACUACUGCCUGUCCACUUCAGACUGGUAACAGCCGUGAGGAAAGGCUCUUGCUGCAGCCACUUCUCCACUGUUAGAGUAAGGAGAGUUGUUGUUUGGGUUACUUCAAAGCAACCCAGUUCAAAGAUAAUCUAAGGUAAGCAAGACCUGGGAAGCCAGAGAAUAAAGUGUGGAGGAAGGAAGACUGUGAAGCCAGGGUCAGCUACAGGUAGGGAGGGACAAGAAAGUUUGUUUUAGGGAGGGGUCUUCUCAAGAAAGAUGAGGAAAUGCUGUGUGCUUUGGCUCCAUCUCACUGUGUGCUGUUUGUUUUGUUUUUUAUUCUCCCCUCUCUAGGAAAGGUUUCCUGUCCAGAGAAGAGGGCCAAACCUACUGUUCCCAUAAACGAGCCCGAGAGUGCACACUCUGAUUUCCUUUCAGCGUCUGUAAACAUUCAGCCCAGUUCCCACGGGGAAAACACCAACCUUGACACCGGCACAAUGGUGGACAGCCACUCUUCCAGAACUGUACCAGUGUGCCAGACUCGGUUCUUUUCCCGGGACGAAGGAAAACAAAAACAUCAACACCCACGGACUUCCUGUGCACUGGAGAUGGGGUCCCCAGGCAGGAGAGGAUGGGGUGGAGGGUGGGGUGGGGGAUAGGAACAGGUAGACUCUGGGCUGUGCAGAUGAAGAGGAGACAGGGAAAGCCAUCCACAGUGAGUGCUCUUGUGGCUUAAGUUCCUCUGGACACUUAGCACCAGGCCCAUUCUCUCACAUUCUCUCUGCCUUUGAUGAAAAACAGACAAGAGACAGAACGGGACUCAAGAGCCCCAAAGAGGCCAGUGGUGGCAUUGACCUAGCUGUACCCAGCAGUGAAAGUAGUCGACCUUCCUAGCCUGGGAACAUCUCUCACUGUGCUGAGAUAUUCCCAGGAGGUGUCAGAUGUAGGUGUGGUUGAAAAAGACCAAGGAUGAUUCUCAAACACAGGUCAACUGGGGAACUCCUGUGACUCAUCCCAGGCAAAACAGAGCAGUACAGAGACCUCAGCCCCACUCCGGAAAAAAACCUAGUAUUGGAAGAAUAGCAGAGAGGCUAUGAGACAAGGAAGUGAAGUCUCCAGUCUGUCAUCUAACUAUUUGCCAUAAAGUCGCUUAAAAUGAAGCACACAGUUCCUGGUCAAAAGUUAUAGGAAACUGUAUUGUUGUGUAAACAAGAAAACUGAAACUAAGAUGUAAAAGGUAACCUGAACCCGUUCCAAGUCUGUUUACAUCAGGGUUAGGACCUAUUGGGGAUAUCGCUGCCCCUCCAGACCUGCCCCCUCACACACACACACACACACACACACACACACACACACACAGACAC
Mus musculus (house mouse) is the source of this 8552-nucleotide long non-coding RNA. RefSeq annotates it as predicted gene, 41261. The transcript has 3 exons. The record is from RefSeq and is a predicted model, not a curated record. NCBI's taxonomy places the organism in Eukaryota, Metazoa, Chordata, Mammalia, Rodentia, Muridae.